This 253-nucleotide ribosomal RNA is filed under the name uncultured bacterium. RNAcentral's name for it is "partial 16S ribosomal RNA". It matches the Rfam family "Bacterial small subunit ribosomal RNA", at positions 524 to 776 of the family's 1533-position model. The record is from RNAcentral.
GACGAACCGUCCAAACGUUAUUCGGAAUUACUGGGCUUAAAGGGUGCGUAGGCGGCGCGGAAAGUUGGGUGUGAAAUCCCUCGGCUCAACCGAGGAACUGCGCCCAAUACUACCGUGCUUGAGGGAGAUAGAGGUGAGCGGAACUUAGGGUGGAGCGGUGAAAUGCGUUGAUAUCCUAAGGAACACCGGUGGCGAAGGCAGGUCACUGGGCCACUACUGACGCUGAGGAGCGAAAGCAUGGGGAGCGAACAGG